Molecule: ribosomal RNA, 209 nt
Filed under: uncultured Bacillus sp.
Lineage: Bacteria; Bacillati; Bacillota; Bacilli; Caryophanales; Bacillaceae
Description: partial 16S ribosomal RNA
Rfam family: Bacterial small subunit ribosomal RNA
Source: RNAcentral
UAAUACCGGAUAAUUCUUUUCUACUCAUGUAGAAAAGCUGAAAGAUGGUUUCGGCUAUCACUCAUAGAUGGGCCCGCGGCGCAUUAGCUAGUUGGUGAGGUAACGGCUCACCAAGGCGACGAUGCGUAGCCGACCUGAGAGGGUGAUCGGCCACACUGGGACUGAGACACGGCCCAGACUCCUACGGGAGGCAGCAGUAGGGAAUCUUC